RNAcentral lists this ribosomal RNA (440 nucleotides) under uncultured bacterium. RNAcentral's name for it is "partial 16S ribosomal RNA". It matches the Rfam family "Bacterial small subunit ribosomal RNA", at positions 338 to 795 of the family's 1533-position model. The record is from RNAcentral.
CCUACGGGAGGCAGCAGUGGGGAAUAUUGCACAAUGGGGGAAACCCUGAUGCAGCAACGCCGCGUGAGUGAUGACGGCCUUCGGGUUGUAAAGCUCUGUCUUCAGGGACGAUAAUGAAGGUACCUAAGGAGGAAGCCACGGCUAACAACGGGCCAGCAGCCGCGGGAAUACGUAGGUGGCGCGCGUUGUCCGGGGUUACUGGUCUGAAAGGGAGCGUAGGCGGACUUUUAAGUGAGAUGUGAAAUACUCGGGUUCAACUUGGGUGCUGCAUGUCAAACUGGAAGUCUAGAGUGCAGGAGAGGAGAAUGGAAUUCCUAGUGUAGCGGUGAAAUGCGUAGAGAUUAGGAAGAACACCAGUGGCGAAGGCGAUUCCCUGGACUGUAACUGACGCUGAGGCUCGAAAGCGUGGGGAGCAAACAGGAUUAGAUACCCUUGUAGUC